GACAAAGCGGGUCGCUGGCAAUACUUCCGACACAAUACUCUACAACUGGGAAAUGAGAAAUCUAGAAACGCUUUUGAAGGAAAGGGUGGUGGAGUGGGCCCGUUAACUCAACAUGUGUCCCGAUUUGGUAUCAAAUGCUCUCCUUCCGUGUCCAUUCUACUCUCCCCGGUCUUACGUGCUCAGUUAACGGUGGGGGCUCCCAAACACAGCAUCCGACUGUCAAGAAGCGGAACCGAACUCUCCAGAAAAGUACAGUCUACACACGGGAACGUGUACGGGAGAAGAAGUGGGUAACAGUGGGAGACACAUCCCUACGAAUAUUCAAGUGGGUGCCUGUGACAGACACUAAACAGAUAUACCGGAGCAAAUCCAUAACUGGAGAGGUUCGAGGUCUAAAAGAUGUGGUGUUGGAAAACACCAGCUCUACCUUGGAUUUCCAAGAUGAAUGCAGCAACCAGAGUUUCCUGUCUGAUAUCUACCAGCCCAAAAUGGACAGCAGCAGCUCCAGCUCCCAGCAUGCCAGUGAGGCAGUCAGUCCUCUUCCCCACACCACAACCCUCCGCACGACCGAAGACGCUCAACCACCCAUGCUGGGCCAGGAGAGUGUGGACGGUACAGUUGGCCUAGCAUACUACACCAUCACACAGCACCCAUGUAGGGCGAGGAGCUUUUCCAGACCGUGUAACCUGACUAGGAAAAACUCUGGGCCCAAGCUAUUAUGUCACUCAUGUAACUGAGAACCGUCCCAGCCAGCACAUGAAGUUGCUGAUGAGCCUCCAACAUUGAUCAAAGAGGACCUGGUUUUGCCCCUUGGUGUCCGAGUAAAAGAUCCAUGCACAGAGGAAGAAGAGGGAUCAGGAGCCCCUCCACUGAAGAAAGUUUGCACUGAAAAAAAGGCUGUACUGAGAUAACUAGUUGAUUGGAUGGACAUACAUGCAACCCAUGCACUAGCUUUAUUGAAGGCUUCAAAUGGGACAUAAGAAUAACUGCCAAAAUAAUAGAAACACUUGAGUAAAUGAGGGAUACAAAGUAUAUUGAAAGCAGGUGCUUCCAUACAGGUGUGGUUCCUGAGUUAAUUAAGCAAUUAACAUCCCAUCAUGCUUAGGGUCAUGUAUAAGAAUGCUGGGGCAGGCCAUUAUUAUGGCUACCAUGGAAAUGCCCCCUUAGUACUGUAUGAGAACACCAAAUGAUGCAAUUUCUUGUGGCAGAAUGGUGUUGCCGCCCUCCAAUAGAGUUCCAGACACUUGUGGAAUCUGUGCCAAGGUGCAUUGAAGCUGUUCUGGCUCGUGGUGGCCCAACGCCCUAUUAAGACACUUUAUGUUGGUGUUUACUUCAUUUUGGCAGUUAUUUGUAAAUAGAUUAUUAUAAAAUAUGCCUUUCUGUUGAUCAAGUUAUUACAAAUGGAAUACAUUUAAAAAGAACGUUGAAGUUAUUGUUUUUUUAAAAUACUAAUUUACUUUCUCAGCUUUGAAAAGGAAUCUUAAGCCGUUUAAUGCGUUACACUGUACAUAAAGUCGUGCUCACAGAAAGUGCCUAUCGCUCUGAAAUAUACACUAUUUAUUUUCUGUCAGGCAAGUGUCUCAUAUUAUGCUAUUUGUAUAAAUUGCACAGAUAUAAAUAAUUAUGGCCCCUAUUCAAUCAAAUCAGUUUGUUAAUCCUGAGGGAUGAAGUGGAGCACAUCUUAAUUCAUGUUCGGUUGAGUUUCUUUUGUUUCACACUGUUAGCGCUGUUUUGUUAAAUACAUUUAUCCAAGCAGCACAAGAAGUAUGAGGGGAAACUUAUUCCGGUCACUGGAUUUGAUUGAAUAUUGGCUGAAGUUUUUUUAAAUCAUUUUUUACAUUUGUACUUUGCUUUGCAAAUCAGAUUAGAAAACUGUUUGUCAUGUCUAUCAUUUUUGAUAUACUGUAUCUUGCUUGUUCAAUUUUCAUAGGGCAUUGAAAGUGAAUGGUGAACGAGGUUGAAAGGUAGUUCAAGACCUUGGUGUAAAUACACUUGUAUUGUAAUUCAGAGAAUGUUUCUUAUGGUCAGGUGGGUCAUGCUCUCAAGUGCUUAUUUUUGUGCUGUAAAAGUGAUGCACAUGCUGGAAUAUACGCUGCUCCAUAGCAAAAUCCGGUUGUAGAUAUUGUGUUUUCUGUUUGCAGUGUUUUGCAUCUUUUGACUCCCAUACUCUCAAAUAAUUGGGCAAAAUAUUUUUCACUAUAUUGGAUGACCACUUGACCUGGUUGCAUGUUAUCAACACUGUUUCAUGGAAAUUAUUGGAUUGCAAAUCCAUGGCCUUGAGCCCUCAAUCUAUACAUAGAAGGCUUGGGCUGUGACUGACCAUAAGUCUCCAGACUUAGCACUGUGGGUUUUUAACAAGUCCAUGAAAUAAACUCCUGGCACCUGAUAGACAUGAUAUAAUUAUUCUUGGUUGAAUGUUAAAAUCCAUGGGAAGUAAGUAACUCCUAUCACUGUAGGAAAUUUAAUUUCAUUAUAAAUUCUUGUGAAAAUGUGAUUUUAGUGUUUUCGUUAUUUGUAAAGAAUACUAUUUUCCUGUCGUACUAAACAUUUUCAUGAGAAAUA
Salmo salar (Atlantic salmon) is the source of this 2562-nucleotide non-coding RNA. NCBI's taxonomy places the organism in Eukaryota, Metazoa, Chordata, Actinopteri, Salmoniformes, Salmonidae. The record is from RefSeq and is a predicted model, not a curated record.